This 253-nucleotide ribosomal RNA is filed under the name uncultured bacterium. Its description in RNAcentral is "partial 16S ribosomal RNA". It matches the Rfam family "Bacterial small subunit ribosomal RNA", at positions 524 to 776 of the family's 1533-position model. The record is from RNAcentral.
UACGGGGGGGGCAAGCGUUGUUCGGAAUUACUGGGCGUAAAGGGCGCGUAGGCGGCGACUCAAGUUAGAUGUGAAAGUCCUGGGCUUAACCUGGGGACUGCAUUUGAUACUGGGUUGCUUGAAUUCGGGAGAGGAUAGCGGAAUUCCCAGUGUAGAGGUGAAAUUCGUAGAUAUUGGGAAGAACACCGGUGGCGAAGGCGGCUAUCUGGACCGACAUUGACGCUGAGGAGCGAAAGCCAGGGGAGCAAACGGG